RNAcentral lists this ribosomal RNA (196 nucleotides) under uncultured bacterium. RNAcentral's name for it is "partial 16S ribosomal RNA". It matches the Rfam family "Bacterial small subunit ribosomal RNA", at positions 328 to 539 of the family's 1533-position model. The record is from RNAcentral.
ACGCUCGACACCUAGGAGGCAGCAGUGGGGAAUAUUGCACAAUGGGGGAAACCCUGAUGCAGCGACGCCGCGUGAGUGAAGAAGUAUUUCGGUAUGUAAAGCUCUAUCAGCAGGGAAGAAGAUGACGGUACCUGAGUAAGAAGCCCCGGCUAACUACGUGCUAGCAGCCGCGGUAAUCUGAGCGGGCUGGCAAGGC